UACGAAGGGGGCUAGCGUUGUUCGGAAUUACUGGGCGUAAAGCGUGCGCAGGCGGCUGCUCAAGUCAGGGGUGAAAGCCCAGAGCUCAACUCUGGAAUUGCCUUUGAGACUGAGUGGCUUGAGUACGGGAGAGGUGAGUGGAAUUCCCAGUGUAGAGGUGAAAUUCGUAGAUAUUGGGAAGAACACCGGUGGCGAAGGCGGCUCACUGGACCACAACUGACGCUGAGGCGCGAAAGCUAGGGGAGCAAACAGG
RNAcentral lists this ribosomal RNA (253 nucleotides) under uncultured bacterium. Its description in RNAcentral is "partial 16S ribosomal RNA". It matches the Rfam family "Bacterial small subunit ribosomal RNA", at positions 524 to 776 of the family's 1533-position model. The record is from RNAcentral.